This is a long non-coding RNA of Drosophila ananassae, 682 nucleotides long. RefSeq lists it as uncharacterized. The transcript is spliced from 2 exons. The record is from RefSeq and is a predicted model, not a curated record. NCBI's taxonomy places the organism in Eukaryota, Metazoa, Arthropoda, Insecta, Diptera, Drosophilidae.
UUUAAGACUAUACUUCACAGGAUCAUUUCUGUAGUCAGUCUUCACAUACUUUCACAUUAGAUGAAAGCUAAGCACACCCGCGUUGAUGAGGUGAAUCGUUCUAUUCGGCAGCGUGAGGAUUUGUCCAGCGGCCUUUGUGGUGUGGCGCUUCGGUGUCCGCAUCCUCCGGGUCGUCGGGCUUCGAUGAUCGCUCGGUAACACGAAUAGAGCGAAUUCUGAGUGGUGCUCCUUUUUCUUGAAUAAAUUUGAAAUCGUAACUAUAGAAGAAACUAUAUAUACUCUUUGAUCGCAAAAUGCUGUGUGGCAACAUUGUGUCUCAACAUGGCCUAGCUACAAAUUAAAACUGAAUGCUUUGUGAUGAUGCUAUGCUUUUGAGAAUACACAGCCUCUGUGUGGUAUGAUGUGGUUGAAUUGUUCCGCCCGUGCAUUCUUGGAGAGUGCAUUAAAAGUUUGGCUGCCAGGAGAAAUGCGUCCUGCGUCAGGGGAGGCAACUCCGCUAACAACGUAUUAUUGGCAAUAUUUUAUAAGCUUGCCAAGACCGACCCCCUUGGAGUACCGACUACUGCCCCCCUGGUCCUUUGAAAAAUUGGCAUGUCGUUGUAACUUUGCCAGUCUCCCUAUGAAGUAAAAAAUAAAAUCUCUUGGCACAUAAGUUUUGUGCACGUUAAGUACUUUUUCAUAA